CUAUUACCUGUGCCACUUGGAAACUGUCCCUUCCCUUCACUGGGCCUCAGUUUCUUCAUCUGUAAAAUGAGUUGACCCAAAUGAUCUCCAAAAGCCCUUCCAACUUGAAAUCUUAGGAUUUUUGUGAUCAUAUGAGGUGGAAGGGACCCGUGAGGCCCUCCAGUCUGACCUGUCCAAACUGAGGCAGGCCCGAAGACAUUGGGACUUCCCAAAGAUCACAGAUCAGAAGUGGCAGAGAUCCAAAUUCAGCUUAGCAUCCACUCCUCUAUAUCAAACAGCCCUAUGACUUCUGCUCUGCUACUCCCACCCCAGCUCAUGACAAGUCCCUCAAGGGGCCCAAGGUCUCCAGAAAUGGCUCUAGUUUUAAGUUCUUUUCCAGACAAGAAAAGGGACUGUUGAACCAGCCCCACAGACCUUUGGAGUCAGAGCUGAGACCCUCCACACUUCUACCUGGAGAGUAACACAUGUACACACACUAACACUCCCAGAACAACAGACACUGGCAUCAGCGGAGGCUCAGAUCCCAGGCGGACAGCUACCUCCUCCCUCUUUAAUACCUGAAGGAACUUAAGCAUUUGAAAAAUGACUUUCAUUAUCUCAUUUGAACCUUAUGACUCUCAAAGGUGCCUCGCCCAGGGUCACAUAGCUCAUUAAAUGUCCAAGGCACUAUUUGAACUGAGGUCUCUGCAUCUCACACUUGACUUUAGUCGCUCUUCCAUGUCCUCGGGCCAAUGAGACCUCCCUCCUCUCCACCAGGAGGUUUCCUAGGACCACCACUCCAUUCUCAGAAAUCUCAGAAGCAGCCCCCUUCCUCAUUCACCUUGUUCAUGUUCUGUCCCUCUGGAAGCCUCUGAUCUGAGCUAAGAGAGACCCAGGGCAGCGCUUAACAAAUGUUUACUGACUGACCGGCUAACUGACUCUGUCUUUGGGAAUUCAAUUCCCUCUCCUAGCUGCCAUCCUGUGCCUACUAUUUGUCAGGCCCUGUGCUAGGCUCUGGGGAUACAAAAAGAGGCAAAAGGCAGUCGCUGCCCUCAAAAGAGCUUACAGGCUAAUGGGGGGAAAUAUAUACAAAGCAAGAUAUAUGAGAUAAAUAGGAAAUAACAGAAGAAAAGCACUGGAAUUAAGAAGGGUCGGGAAAGGCUUGCGGUAAAAGAUGAAAUUUUAGUUGACCCUAAAACAAACCUGCUAAGUCAGCAGGUGGAGUUAAGGAAGGAGAGGAAGGGAGGAGGGAAGGACUUCUGGUCAAAUCACAGCAUCCCCAGGCCUGCUGCCAGCCAGCUUCCCUUGCCACCAGCCCAGCUGCUCUGUGAUCUUGAGGGAACUGAAAGCCAUAGUUCUCUGCUCCAGACAAGAGACAAAGGAUCCGCCCAGCUCAGCCUGCCCAAGGGAGUGGGGACAAAACCAGAAAUCCUAGUCUGGGAACCUUCUGCAAAGUCACUCAGUUGUCAAACAUGAAGAAAUUGACCCUGGUGGCUGUGGGCGCCGUGGCUGGAGGUGGGAAACCUAGCCCUCUCCAGAACAUACCUGAUUGCUGGCCACCCUUUCUGGAAAAACCCAGAAAUGGCUCCAGUUGCUGAACCUACUCCUCCCAGGAUAAUAUUCACCCCAGCCAAGAGUCCAGAUACAACUGGAAGAUGGAAGAAGAGAGACAAGAUGAGAUGGGAGAGGGACUAGACUUUGGGACCAUAGGCAGGUCAUGUCCCCUAAGUGGGCUCCAGGUUCCCCACUAGCAUCAGGAGAGACAUGGUCUGCAAGGACCCUUCUGGCUCUCAAGUUUGUUGACAUCCAAAAUAAAUAGCCAAAUACUGGGAAGUCCACAAAGAAGGAGGAAUUGGGGAAGCGGGUCUGCACAGCUCUUGAGGGGAGUGGAGAGGUAAAUAGCAACCUUUUGGGAAGCUCUCUAGCCUGGCUUUUAUCCUUCCCUUUCCCCUCUGCUGAGGUCAGGUUU
Molecule: long non-coding RNA, 1948 nt
Organism: Vombatus ursinus (common wombat)
Lineage: Eukaryota; Metazoa; Chordata; Mammalia; Diprotodontia; Vombatidae
Exons: 3
Source: RefSeq, a predicted model, not a curated record